GACGAACGCUGGCGGCGUGCUUAACACAUGCAAGUCGAGCGGUAAGGCCCUUUCGGGGGUACACGAGCGGCGAACGGGUGAGUAACACGUGGGUGACCUGCCCUCAGCUCUGGGAUAAGCCUGGGAAACCGGGUCUAAUACUGGAUAUGACUCCAUGACGCAUGUUGUGGGGUGGAAAGCCUUGUGCGGCUGAGGAUGGGCCCGCGGCCUAUCAGCUUGUUGGUGGGGUGANGGGCCUACCAAGGCGACGACGGGUAGCCGGCCUGAGAGGGCGGACGGCCACACUGGGACUGAGACACGGCCCAAACUCCUACGGGAGGCAGCAGUGGGGAAUUGUUCACAAUGGGCGCAAGCCUGAUGACGCAACGCCGCGUGGGGAUGAAGGUCUUCGGAUCGUAACCCCUGUCGAAUGGGACGAAAGACUCGCGAGUUAAUACUUCGCGGAGUGACGGUACCGUUAAGGAA
Molecule: ribosomal RNA, 465 nt
Filed under: uncultured bacterium
Lineage: Bacteria
Description: bacterial SSU rRNA
Rfam family: Bacterial small subunit ribosomal RNA
Source: RNAcentral